CUCGCGGGCCAAGGAUGCUGACGCAGGCCUGAGUCCGGAAAAGACCCGCACAUCUGGGGCCCAAGUGGCCCAUUUCCCCAGAGGCGAGCAAGGACUCUCAGGAAUCGUCAUCCUUCCCAUGAAAUCCUGGAAACUGCUUAACUCCUUUAAGGAUCUUUCCAAAGGUCUUCAAUUUUGAUAUAAGCAACAAAGAAUAAGAGGGCUAUUAGAUCAGAAAUAUUCCAUGAAGAAGGGAGCAAAGAUUCAUGUCACUGAC
RNAcentral lists this long non-coding RNA (256 nucleotides) under Homo sapiens (human). Its description in RNAcentral is "HSALNT0337701". Lineage: Eukaryota; Metazoa; Chordata; Mammalia; Primates; Hominidae. The record is from RNAcentral.